This 746-nucleotide ribosomal RNA is filed under the name uncultured bacterium. Its description in RNAcentral is "bacterial SSU rRNA". It matches the Rfam family "Bacterial small subunit ribosomal RNA", at positions 33 to 773 of the family's 1533-position model. The record is from RNAcentral.
ACGCUGGCGGCAGGCCUAACACAUGCAAGUCGAGCGGUAGAGAGAAGCUUGCUUCUCUUGAGAGCGGCGGACGGGUGAGUAAUGCCUAGGAAUCUGCCUGGUAGUGGGGGAUAACGUUCGGAAACGGACGCUAAUACCGCAUACGUCCUACGGGAGAAAGCAGGGGACCUUCGGGCCUUGCGCUAUCAGAUGAGCCUAGGUCGGAUUAGCUAGUUGGUGGGGUAAUGGCUCACCAAGGCGACGAUCCGUAACUGGUCUGAGAGGAUGAUCAGUCACACUGGAACUGAGACACGGUCCAGACUCCUACGGGAGGCAGCAGUGGGGAAUAUUGGACAAUGGGCGAAAGCCUGAUCCAGCCAUGCCGCGUGUGUGAAGAAGGUCUUCGGAUUGUAAAGCACUUUAAGUUGGGAGGAAGGGCAGUUGCCUAAUACGUAACUGUUUUGACGUUACCGACAGAAUAAGCACCGGCUAACUCUGUGCCAGCAGCCGCGGUAAUACAGAGGGUGCAAGCGUUAAUCGGAAUUACUGGGCGUAAAGCGCGCGUAGGUGGUUUGUUAAGUUGGAUGUGAAAUCCCCGGGCUCAACCUGGGAACUGCAUUCAAAACUGACUGACUAGAGUAUGGGUAGAGGGUGGUGGAAUUUCCUGUGUAGCGGUGAAAUGCGUAGAUAUAGGAAGGAACACCAGUGGCGAAGGCGACCACCUGGACUGAUACUGACACUGAGGUGCGAAAGCGUGGGGAGCAAAC